GAUGAAGAACGCAGUAAAAUGCGAUAAGUAAUGUGAAUUGCAGAAUUCAGUGAAUCAUCGAAUCUUUGAACGCACAUUGCGCCCGCUGGUAUUCCGGCGGGCAUGCCUGUUCGAGCGUCAUUUCAACCCUCAAGCCCCCGGGUUUGGUGUUGGGGAUCGGCUCUGCACUUCUGGGCGGUGCCGCCCCCGAAAUACAUUGGCGGUCUCGCUGCAGCCUCCAUUGCGUAGUAGCUAACACCUCGCAACUGGAACGCGGCGCGGCCAUGCCGUAAAACCCCAACUUCUGAAUGUUGACCUCGGAUCAGGUAGGAAUACCCGCUGAACUUAAGCAUAUCAAUAAGCGGAGGA
This 348-nucleotide unclassified non-coding RNA is filed under the name soil metagenome. Its description in RNAcentral is "partial contains 5.8S ribosomal RNA, internal transcribed spacer 2, and large subunit ribosomal RNA". The stretch from base 1 to 120 matches the Rfam family "5.8S ribosomal RNA", at positions 35 to 154 of the family's 154-position model. The record is from RNAcentral.